RNAcentral lists this long non-coding RNA (1482 nucleotides) under Solanum lycopersicum (tomato). Its description in RNAcentral is "partial TCONS_00172805". The record is from RNAcentral. Lineage: Eukaryota; Viridiplantae; Streptophyta; Magnoliopsida; Solanales; Solanaceae.
CCACUGGCAUUAUUGAAAAUAAAUGUUCAUUUGAAGGGCAAAUAGUUCAAGUAAAACCAGGAGGUGGAAGUUCUAUUCGUUAAGAUAUUUUGUAAUUCUAAUUACGUGGCUGCCUAAUAUCCACGAACUAGAAAAUAUCUGUUACACCUUUCAUCAUCAAUAAGGCUUCUCUAGAAUAAGCAUGGAGCAAUUGAUUUAAUGAAGCCUCUUCUUAAGUUAUAACUCCCAUGCUGCACGGAUGAUCUCUGAAGAUUUUCAAUAAUUUCAUACCAUUUUAAGGUUUACCAUGGAUGAGAGAAGAUGGUGAUGCACUUGACAUUGUUGCCUUAUCUAGAAUGAAAUAAUUAUGUGCUGAAGUAAGCAAUAUUAAAGGUUACAGUUGUAUAUUCAAUGUUCUUAUUCUUAAUGAGAUGGACAAUUUAUCUCCCCAUGACCAUUGGGCUUAUCGUCCGUUUUUCUGAAUUUAUAGGUAAUUACUUAAAAGAGUCUCUAAAUCUAAACAAUAAGUAAUAUAUAUCUAUCCUCCACACAUUACAAAAGGACCUCUCUAAAAGCACUAAUAAAGAGAUCCUACACUUCACUGCUCAAUCCUCACUCUUCCGUGAAUUCUCUCGCAAAUUGGCCAUGAUUUUACUCCCCUGCUUUUUUGUUUCUCUAAACCUUCCUUUCUCCUACCAGUUCAAUUGGUAAAAUACCCUACCUAAAUUUUAUAACUGCUGAACUAACUGUGUAUACUUUCACUAAUUGCAGAUCUCUUUGGCUAAAUUUCGUCGCGAAUUGUGUAUCCAUGGUGUGUGUGUGUCGCACACAUUUUUAUAUGCUAAUUUAUUUGUAGAUUUGAUUAUGAUAUCAAUAAUUUAGUUGUAGAGAACAGUAUUUUAUUGGUCUUGUUUUGAGAUUCCGUAGAUAAUUAUUAGGUAUUACAAUUAUCAUAUUUAAUAUGAUAUUUUAUCAACUGUUUCUGUAUACUAUUAAUUUCUCUAUCGGGGUUCACUUUUGCCUAUCAAAGUUAGUCGCGUUGGUUCAAGCCCAUUAGUGCUCAUAUGAGGUAAUUAAUGAGAAAGGAUCAUGACAUAUGGUUAUUGUAUAUUGAGAAUGGCUUAAAGAACGUCGUCAGUAUAAAUAAAUUCAAUAAUUUCUAAAAACUAUUUCAAUGGGAACUUAUUUACGAAGUGAUUCUUGAAAUUUUUUCGUCGAAUACAAAAAUAUGUUUUGAGUGAUCUCAACCGACUUCAUUCAAGAUGUCUUUAUUAGCAUUAAUGCUUGAGCUGAAUUUCUUGAUUCCCCAAUUACUUUUUUUAUUAGUGUUGAGUUCUCAAGUUCUCUCUGAUUACAUAUUUCACUUGACAAGAGUUCUUCACAUGACAAGGGUGCUACAUGUGAUCUUCGUCAAGUAUGACAUAUCAAAUUUUUAAAUAUCAAGUGUUUUAUUCAAUUUUUCCUUAGAUUGUUUUUCUUAAGCAAGAAAUUUCAAAAUUUAAC